Molecule: long non-coding RNA, 5932 nt
Filed under: Populus trichocarpa (black cottonwood)
Lineage: Eukaryota; Viridiplantae; Streptophyta; Magnoliopsida; Malpighiales; Salicaceae
Description: long non-coding RNA (PTRI_LNC001325)
Source: RNAcentral
AGCACCACCUGAAGCAGGCGGCCUUUCGAUAUCUCUUGCUGGAGGACAGGGACAGGUUGUGGGUGGACGUGUGGUGGGGCCUUUGAUGGCUUCAAGUCUUGUGGUUUUGAUGGCUGCCUCCUUUGCAAAUGCAAUGUAUGAUCGGUUACCAGUGGAGGAGGAUCGGGAGUCAGUACCAGCAGUAGAGGUGCAGCAGCAGCAGCGGCCAGCAGCCUCACAAUCUUCGGGAGUGGCUGGAUCAGGUGGAGGACAAGUUGGUGGUGGCGGAAACGACGGCAGUAGUGGUGGUGGAGGUGUACCCUUUUAUAAUCUGGGAGUGAACGGUAUGGGAAGCUACCCUUUUGCCGGUCAUGGCGAAGGAGAUCAUAUGUUUAGUAGUGCAGCAGGUCUACAUUUUAAAUGAGCAUAUGCCGCUAGCUAGCUACUGGUGUCAAUAAUGAAUAUCCCAAUUUAAAGAUCUGAUUAAUUGUUGUCUUCCCGUAUUAAUUUCAAGAAUUAGACAAGGAUAUUGGUGCUAAAUCAGUAUUUCUUCAAGAUCAAGAAGAAGAAGAGUGCAGGAAAUUCUGUGUCGUUUCUGUGUCUUUCAGUAUUAAUUCAAGAAUUAAAUAAGCUUGGAGCCUCUUGUGUUUUUUAUGUAGUGACUUGUAGCUUCUUAUAUACUCAUAAAUCAUGGAACGUUCAGGAAAGCGAUCGCACAACAUCGUGAAAGUAUUUUAAAAUCGUUUUAUGUAGCUGCUAAUGAUGAAGAGUCAUGUCAACUUAAAAUAGAUAAUUGUAGAAAACAGGCGACAAGAGAAUUGAAAAUUGAAAAUUGAUGGGCUUGGGUUUGAACCUAUUUCGUCUCCUCUUGGGCCCAGUUUUGGUACCCUUUUAUUCUCCCAUAUGGACUCGGUUUUGGGCUCUGUUUCUUACCUCCUUGGUUGGGCGUUUUUCUUGUAUAUUUCGUCUCCUCUUGGGCUUUCUUUCUAAUUGCCACCACAAGAAAAAUCCGGGUGUUAUUAUGUCCCCUCUCAAAUAUGUGGGGUUAAAUAAUUUGGAUCCUUGUGAUAAAAGUAGGGAUCGAACUCACUAACACGAAUCAAGAGGCUAUGGGCCACUCGCUAAAAAGCUACUGGUCUCACAUGCAUUAUUAAUUUUUUUUCAUUUAAUAAUAAGCGAGUAUUUUCAUAUUAAUUUGUGACAAUAAUUGAGAGUUAAAUUUAUUUUGAACAAUAUUUAAAAAAAAAACAUCCUUCUUGAAGCUAUUAACAAUAGCAACUGACAAUGGAAAUUAUUGUUACUCUCCCUAUAAAAUACAGUUUAUUAGAACAAUAUUUUUUUUUUAAUUUUUUUUAAUAUUAAAUUUAUUAGAGAUUAAACAUUAUAAUUUAUUUUGGAUUAUUUUUCAUGAGAUUAUCAUAGUCUUAUGACCAGAGUUACGAGUUUUGCGAGUUAACUUUAUUAACUUAAGUUUUAUUUAAUUUUUUUUUCAAUUUCAUUGUUCGCCAUUUGAGUUGAUUGAGAGUUAAACUUCAUAAUUUAUUUUGCAUUGCUUUUUAUGAGGCUAUCACAAUCUCAUGAAUCGAGUCAAGGGUUUGACAAGUUAAACUAAGUUGACCCGAGUCUUAUUUUUUGUCUUUUAUUAAUUGAUUUUUUUUUUAAUUUUAUCAUUGAAUGUUGGAUUGAUUAUGAAUUGAGUUUCAUGAUUUGUUUUGAUUUAUUUUCUAUGUGGUUAUCACGGUUUCAUGAUCGAAGGUUGUCAGAAUAACUCAGCUGGUUGACUAAGGUUUUUUGGUCAUUUUUUAAUUAAUGUUUUUCAAUCUUUUUUUUUUUAACAUUGAGUUUCAAUGUUUUUUUUUUAAUUUGUUUUUUAUAAAAUUAUUAUGGUCUCAAGAUCUUGGUAAUGAAUUUUACAUAUUAACCUAAGUUGAUCCGAGUUAAUCCAAUAUAUUAUCAUCUCAAUAUUUUUCUUAAAUCAUUUUGAUUUUUUUUCUAGUCAAAUUAUAUUUUUCUUUGAUUGUUCAAGAUAUAUAUAGACUUGUUAAGUUGAUUGAGUUACAUCAAAUCAAUUUCUAUAUUAUUUAAAUUUUUUUUCAAAAACACAUUAAUAAUACAUGAAUAAUUUUUUGAACUUAAAAUAAUAAUCGGACCCGUAUGAUAGCACUAAUUGAAUUAGUACUCUCGUUUCUUUAAGCAUCAAGUUAUUAAUAGUCACGGGCAAUAUAUAGUUAUUCUAGCUCGUUAAACUACAUAGGUUUGCACAAGAUGCCAAAAUUACUUGUCUUUAGUUUUUAGUUGCAUUGCAAUACAAAGGUUGACCCAAGCGUACAAUGUUAGUUUCUUUUUUUUUUUUUUUUAGUUUAAUGUAGGUGUUAAGGCUCGAACCUGAAACCACAGAGGGAGCAAACUUCUUGAUCCCAAACUCUUACCACUAGCCACCAUAAUUUCUUAAUUCUUACAUUACACUCAAUUAAUAAUAUAUUGGUGGCUAAAUUUAAUGACAUGGUGUCAUUACCGGCACCCCACCUAUGCGGUGGGUGGGGUGUACUUUUCGUGAAUCUUGUUUUUAUAUUUUAAAAAUAAUUAAUUUUUUUAUAUUUUAAAUUAAUUUUUUAAUUUUUUCUUAUAAUUUUAAUAUAAUAAUAUUAAAAAAAAUUAUUUUUUUAUUUUAAUAUAUUAAAAUAUUAAUAUUUCAAAAAACAACCACUAUUGUAAUUCAAUAAAUUUAUUAUUUUCUCCUACAACAGUUUAUGACGCGGGUUUAUGCCAGGUGUCACGCUGUAUAUGCGGUGCGUGUCACGCCGUAUAUGCGGAGCGUGUGGUCGGCCGCAUUAGCGUCAUUUGAUUAAAACACCACCCACCCCUUGGUCUAAUAAAGACAGCACAAAAUGCAUUAAGGUCAUCGAUGGAAAUGUCCUUUAUAUCCAGACCUUGACAUGCAAUUCAAUUGAUCUCUAGUCUUUUUCCUUUUUGUAUUUAUUGGAGAUACCGACUUCGGUAAAGAUCCUCUCUACUUCUGCUCCUUCAAAUUGUUUCAAGUGACAACUUGGGUGAUUUUAGUAUUUUUAAUGAAAUAAUAAAAAAUUGAGGCUUGAGUUAGUGAUUUCAGGGUUAAUUUAAUACCAUCAUUAAAAAAAACAAUGAAAUUAGAUAAAUUAAACAAAAAAAAAAUACAGCAAUAAUUAAUUAUAAAAAAUAAACAAGAAGAUAUCAGUAUUCUUAAAAGUUCUUUAUGAUCUUAUCAAAGCAAAAACUAAAUGAGAGUGAUAAUUUCAUAGUAAGCAAAAUGAAAAAUAAGAUUUGAAACUUAAUUUUUAAUAAAUCAAAUAUUGAAGGAUAAAAUUAAAAAAAACCCGAUCCAAGUUAGUCCGCCAAAUUUAAAAAUCAAGGUGAUGAGAGAAAAAAAAAAAAGCUCGUUGGCGUUAAAUCAAAGAGCGGUAAACUACAUGCACUAUCUAGGAGGGAAGACUUACUAGAUGAUUCCAAAAACAUCAAAGGACAUCUUUUUUUGCCAUUGUAAUCCGUUGCAUGCGCCUAUCAAUUUUUUUUUAUAUCAUAUAUUUAUUAAAAUAUCAAAUUAACCCAUAGUCAACUUGAUUAAUUAUAACUAAAAAACCAAUGGACCUUACAAAAAAUACAAAAAAAUUAUUGGAUGCCAGUUAAACAAAAAUACAUUUUCAAAGGUAAUUUAGAUAUUUUAUAGUGUUUUUAAAAUAUAAAAAAUUUAUUUCAUAAUAAAUUUGAUAAUAACUAAUAAAACUCGUGAAAAGAUAAUAUUAUCUCAAUAGCUAGAAUAACUAGUUUAUUGGUUUUCUAAGAGUAAAAUAUUCAGUACAAUGUUCAAAUGAACAAUAAAUCCUCGUGUAAAGUACAGUGUUUUCCUCUCUCCUAUUAGCCUUUGGUAAUUAUUUGGAUAGCUGUUGUGUCCACUUCCUUCGAGAUCUAUAAGAAUAACCUUCUCACAAUUGUCAUUUUCCAUCUCCACACAUCUAUAUGGACUAUACCCUUGUGUUUGUUUUUGGGAAUAAUCCUCUUGGUAAACGUCCAGUCCACAAAAAGUUAAUUAAGGCAGCAUGCUAGCUUCUUCUUGGUAAACACUUCCAGCUUUUGUCCUCUUACAUUUGGAACGCCAACAUACUUCCAAGAGCAAGCUUCCUACGUACUUCUUACUUGUACCUGCUCCUCCCCCCCCCUUCAAGAUUGAUUCUCCUAUAAGUGUCAAGCAUCAAAGCUAACCUUCCUAACUUGAAAGGAAAAGCAAGAAAGUCUCUCCAAAAUUAGCUCAAGCCGAGAUGAGUUCCAUGACACCAUUGUUAAAACCAGAUGUGACCUUAUCUCUUACGUUGUCACCCAGCUCCCCUUCUCCUCAUGACCAAACUCUAAAGCCUGAAGAAAGAGGUAUACGUCUUAUCCAACUCCUUCUAAAAUGUGCAAAACAUGCAUCCUCGGGCAAUCUUCAUCGAGCCGAUGCGUGUCUUUUGGAGAUAUCGGUGCUUUCAUCGAUUUUGGGUGAUUGCAUGCAAAGGCUGGCUGCUCGUUUUGCCUCCGCCCUUGCCAUUCGCCUUGUCAAGCGUUGGCCCGGCAUACACAAGGCGCUGAACCAAGCCCAACAACCCAAAGUCGACCUUGAUAGGGCCAAGCUCCUCUUUACCAGAACCUUCCCUUACCUUAGUUUCGCUUAUGCCAUCAUAGCCAAAACCUUACUCCAUGCCAUGGCAAACGAGCGUGUGAUUCACAUCGUAGAUUUGGGCUCCGGUGACUCGAACUUGUGGGUCGCACUUCUCCGUGGUUUCGCCAACUCACCACAUGGGCCUCCACAUUUGAAGAUCACCUGUGUUAAUGGCAGCAAAGCUAUUCUUGAGAAGUUAGGUCAAAGGCUUGUCAAAGAAGCAGAAAGCGUGGGCGUACCCUUUCAAUUUAAUUCUAUAAACGCGAGCUUGAGAGAGUUAACAAAAGACAUGUUUAAGGCUGGAUCAGGAGAAGCGCUAGCUUUCGUAUCAAUAUUAAAUCUUCACGUUUUAUUAUCUGAAGAUGACCAAGUGGUUGCACAUUUUGGGGUUAACAAGAACGACGGCAUUAAAGAUUGCAAGCAAAUUGGUGAUUUUCUAGCGAUGAUUCGGUCAAUGUCACCUACGUUAUUAUUUGUAGUAGAGCAAGAAGCGGACCACAAUUUGAAUCGAUUGGUGGACCGAUUUGUAGAGGGAUUGAAUUAUUACAGCGCAGUGUUUGACUCGAUAGACGCCACUUUGGCGAGUAAUCUGGCUAGUGAUGAAAGGCUUGUUUUAGAGGAAAUGUUUGGAAGAGAGAUCGAGAAUAUUGUAGCCUGUGAGGGGUUGGAAAGGAUUGAGAGACAUGAGAGGUAUGCAAGGUGGGUAGUUAGGCUUGCACAAGCAGGGUUUAAGCCAGUUCGGUUCUGGCAUAGUUCAGGCGAGGAUGCUAAGCAAAUUAUGGAUGCCUUCGGAAAGAAUGGGUACAAGACUGUUAUUGAGAGAACAGGUUUGAUGAUUUGUUGGCGUGAACGACCACUAUAUGCUCUUACUGCUUGGACCUGUUAGCGUUGUACAUUUGGGUAUUCCUUUUCACUGUCGGAGUAUAUUUGUAAUUGCAUAAAUACUAUAAAUAUAUGGGUGUGCUGAUGUGGGUUUAGUAGGAACAGACGCACAACACUUUUAUCCUCCUAUUUCUUUCUCUUCGUCCAGGCGGCCUUUCGAUCUCUUGCUGGAGGACAGGGGCAGGUUGUGGGUGGACGUGUCGCGGGGCCCUUGAUGGCUUAAAGUCUUGCGGUUUUGAUUGGCUGCGUCCUUUGCAAUUAAUGCAGUGUAUGAUCGGUUACCACUGGAGGAGCUGGAUCGGGAGUCAGUACCAGCACUAGAGGUGCAGCAGCAGCAGCGGCCAGAACCUCACAAUCGUCGGGAGUGGCUGGAUCAGGUGGAGGACAAGUUGGUGGUGGCAG